UAGCCUAAGGCCAAUGAGCAAUUUCCUC
RNAcentral lists this non-coding RNA (28 nucleotides) under Rattus norvegicus (Norway rat). Lineage: Eukaryota; Metazoa; Chordata; Mammalia; Rodentia; Muridae. The record is from RNAcentral.